Molecule: long non-coding RNA, 612 nt
Filed under: Sus scrofa (pig)
Lineage: Eukaryota; Metazoa; Chordata; Mammalia; Artiodactyla; Suidae
Description: lncRNA (ENSSSCG00055022572.1)
Source: RNAcentral
AGAAUCUCACACUCAGCCUGCCUCCCACACGUUCCUCUUCCCGCCCAGUCCUAUCAGCUAACUUUUGCCUCUCAGGAUUCAGAUUCAUCUUCUACAGGUUUUUCAACAAGGAAAUGCAUGACCUUUCCAGCCUCUUCAGUCUUCUUCUCGACCUAUGAACAAGUUUUGCAUUUUCUGUCUGAAAGGAGGAUGAAGAGUUUGGCAGAGAAGAAUGUGAAGCGGUGCAAAGCAGGGCUUCUGACAACUGACUUAGCAGUUCUCUUCACUUGCUUGCUAAGGACACGAGUACCUCAACGCCCAAAUCCAGAAAGAGAAGCAGGAAGCGAUGGCGGCCUGCGAAGGACACACCCCUGGACGCCGAGUCCUGGGUUCUUGGGUUCUCAGCCUUCCCACUGCACAGCAGGGAUCUCAGAAUCGUCCCCCUGUGAAUUCUCUCACCCAUAUUCUCAUCCUUCCCACUGUUUUCCCUGCUUCUCCCACUCACCCUAUUCUGGGAAAAUUCCAGAGAUAAACGUGGGAAACCACAGGCUGCCCUUCCUUCGGUGCUUCUGCAUUUCCCAGCGCCCAGGAUCUGCCCGCUGGAUUACAGCAGCUCCUGAAGACCGUUUCUGA